This 408-nucleotide long non-coding RNA is filed under the name Manacus vitellinus (golden-collared manakin). RNAcentral's name for it is "lncRNA (ENSMVIG00005008142.1)". The record is from RNAcentral. Lineage: Eukaryota; Metazoa; Chordata; Aves; Passeriformes; Pipridae.
ACACACCCGCCCUGUUCCCACGGACACGGGCAGUGAGGGCAGGGACCUCGGGCAGCAUCAGGGGCCAGCCCUGCCAGGGCACCAGAGGGCACACACCUUCCCAGAGGGCACACACCUUCCCAGAGGGCACACACCUUCCCAGAGGGCACAGUCCUUCCAGGAGGGCACAGCCUUCCCAGAGGGUACAGUCCUUCCCAGAGGGCACAGCCUUCCCAGAGGGCACAGUCCUUCCCAGAGGGCACAGUCCUUCCCAGAGGGCACAGUCCUUCCAGGAGGGCACGGGCCUUUCCAGAGGGUACACACCACAUCACUCUCCCGCCAAAAUUAAUAGCAGCAAAUGCUCUCACCCCCCCACACGAAUUCCGGACUCCUUGAGCAGGACCCUCCCUGUGCCCACACGAAGCGUGA